CAUUAUCGUGGGGCUUCGGCCCUCUCGAGAUAGAACCCUUGCCUUUUUGAGUACCUUUCGUUUCCUCGGCGGGCUCGCCUGCCAAUGGGGACCCCAAUACACCCUUUUGUAAUACCUGUAAUCGUCUGACAAAACAAACAAAAAUUAAAACUUUCAACAACGGAUCUCUUGGUUCUGGCAUCGAUGAAGAACGCAGCGAAAUGCGAUAAGUAGUGUGAAUUGCAGAAUUCAGUGAAUCAUCGAAUCUUUGAACGCACAUUGCGCCCCUUGGUAUUCCGGGGGGCAUGCCUGUUCGAGCGUCAUUACAACCCUCAAGCUAUGCUUGGUCUUGGGCCCUGCCGGCAACGGCUGGCCCUAAAAUCAGUGGCGGUGCCAUCGUGCUCUCAGCGUAGUAAUUCUUCUCGCUGUUGGGUCUCGGUGGACGCUGGCCAGCAACCCCCAAUUUUUCAGGUUGACCUCGGAUCAGGUAGGGAUACCC
This 478-nucleotide ribosomal RNA is filed under the name uncultured Ascomycota. RNAcentral's name for it is "eukaryotic LSU rRNA". The stretch from base 149 to 302 matches the Rfam family "5.8S ribosomal RNA". The record is from RNAcentral. Lineage: Eukaryota; Fungi; Ascomycota.